Molecule: small nuclear RNA, 141 nt
Organism: Dipodomys ordii (Ord's kangaroo rat)
Lineage: Eukaryota; Metazoa; Chordata; Mammalia; Rodentia; Heteromyidae
Gene: U1
Rfam family: U1 spliceosomal RNA
About the family: U1 is a small nuclear RNA (snRNA) component of the spliceosome (involved in pre-mRNA splicing). Its 5' end forms complementary base pairs with the 5' splice junction, thus defining the 5' donor site of an intron.
Source: Ensembl
AAUAAUACCUGGCGGGGAGAUAGCAUGAUCACAAAGCCUUCCAAGGGCAAGGCUUCUUCAUUGCUGACCCCUGUGAUUUCCCUAAAUGUGGGAAACUGCAUAAUUUGUGGUAGUGGGGGACUGCAUUUGUGCUCUCCCCUG